CUUCCCUAUCCCCUUCACGCUACGCAGCCCAACCCUUUCCUCAGCCUUCCCUGCGCAGCACACACACACCCAGUUCUCUGAGGAAGAAAGGAAGAAAACGAAAAGGGGGAAAGGGAGAAGGGGAUCUGGAGGGAGGAAGGGCACCGGGCAGGGAGCAGCUCGCCGGUCCUCACCCCGCCGCCGUCAUCCUUGCGAUCGCGAAGAGAGAGACUAACGGGAGGAACUGGCACACAUGGGAGAGGAAGAAACCGCCUCUGCGCCGCCAUCGUUCACAAGCUCAGCCACCUCGCCAUUGUCGCCGCCGAGGGUUUGCUGCUGGUGAGGAGAAGAUGCCGUCACGUCUUCCGGCCGUCCAUGCCGCCGCCUUUGUUGCCGAGCUCCUAUGGCCACCGCCGGUAAGAUCUGAACGGAAGGAAGCUUGAGGAGAGAGAGAGGGAUCGACGGGAGGGGUUCCUGCCCGUGCGGCCGUGCCUCCACCGCCGCAGAUCCUCCACUGCCUCUCACUGCUGAUGUCCUCCGCCGCCGUGCUUGUCAUUCAAAGCUGCUGCAUCUCCACUACUGGAGUUGCUGUUGCUGUUGCUCGGGCUCCGUUUUGAACCAUUAGAACCGCUACUAUUUUGUAAGUUACUUUGCCGCUGCUAUUAUUGGAGGUAGUUGCUGGCCCUGUUUGGAGAUUUCUACUGCUACUGGAAUCCCAAAUUAGAGAGGAGAGGAGGCGUUUAACCUUGUCACGGUUGCUGCCAUGGGAACAGGUCCCGGAAACUACUAACAGAGCAGGCUGAGUCAUAGUGAUUCUGGCUGCCGAGGGCAGUUCUGUGGCUAUCGGGACCACUGUUGAAGCUUCUGUCCUUUGGUUCAGUCAGUAUCCCAGUACAGAUUAAGUUAUCGGAGCCACAUGUUACGCGUAAGGGUUGUUUCUGCUGCUGCGAAAGUGAACAAAGCUGUGAUGCAAGCGGCCGGUAAUUUCGGGUUGAGAGAGGGUUUCUGUGACGCGUUUGGUUUAUGUGUUCGACGAAUCGAGCUAGGGGCUAUUUUCUGAAAACUAUGUUUUAUAUAUUGGAAUUAUUACAUAUAGAUACUGAUGUGAGACAAUGUAUAUUUGGUGAUUGUAUCGGUCUUAUGUAUUGUUUGGUUGUCUUAAAUGAUUAUGAACAUUUGUUUGACUGGAUUGUUGUGCGGCUUUGUGAAACGGAAUGCUUUUGGAAGUUGAUUCUUUUAAAGAUU
Molecule: non-coding RNA, 1224 nt
Organism: Arachis ipaensis
Lineage: Eukaryota; Viridiplantae; Streptophyta; Magnoliopsida; Fabales; Fabaceae
Source: RefSeq, a predicted model, not a curated record